RNAcentral lists this transfer RNA (73 nucleotides) under Danio rerio (zebrafish). Its description in RNAcentral is "tRNA-Val (CAC) (tRNA-Val-CAC-27-1)". It matches the Rfam family "tRNA". From Rfam's summary of the family: Transfer RNA (tRNA) molecules are approximately 80 nucleotides in length. The record is from Rfam by way of RNAcentral. Lineage: Eukaryota; Metazoa; Chordata; Actinopteri; Cypriniformes; Danionidae.
GUUUCCGUAGUGUAGUGGUUAUCACGUUGGCCUCACACGCGAAAGGUCCCCAGUUCGAAACUGGGCGGAAACA